AGGAAUUGGCGGGGGAGCACCGCAACGGGAGGAGCGUGCGGUUUAAUUGGAUUCAACACCGGAAAACUCACCAGCGGCGACUGUUACAUGAAAGUCAGGCCGAUGACCUUACUAGAUUUUCAGAGAGGUGGUGCAUGGCCGUCGUCAGUUCGUACCGUAAGGCGUUCUCUUAAGUGAGAUAACGAACGAGACCCUCACCAAUAGUUGCUAUCCCAUCCUCCGGGGUGGGAGCACACUAUUGGGACCGCUGGCGCUAAGUCAGAGGAAGGAGAGGUCAACGGUAGGUCAGUAUGCCCCGAAUCUGCUGGGCUACACGCGCGCUACAAAGGGCGGGACAAUGGGCUCCGACACCGAAAGGUGAAGGUAAUCUCGAAACCCGUCCGUAGUUCGGAUUGAGGGUUGUAACUCACCCUCAUGAAGCUGGAUUCCGUAGUAAUCGCGAAUCAACAACUCGCGGUGAAUAUGCCCCUGCUCCUUGCACACACCGC
This 488-nucleotide ribosomal RNA is filed under the name uncultured archaeon. RNAcentral describes it as "bacterial SSU rRNA". It matches the Rfam family "Archaeal small subunit ribosomal RNA", at positions 860 to 1349 of the family's 1478-position model. The record is from RNAcentral.